Molecule: ribosomal RNA, 827 nt
Filed under: Tylopus sp. 3 ADN-2017
Lineage: Eukaryota; Metazoa; Arthropoda; Diplopoda; Polydesmida; Paradoxosomatidae
Description: SSU rRNA
Rfam family: Eukaryotic small subunit ribosomal RNA
Source: RNAcentral
AGGUGAAACCGCGAAUGGCUCAUUAAAUCAGUCAUGGUUCCUUAGAACAUACCAUCCUUCUUGGAUAACUGUGGUAAUUCUAGAGCUAAUACAUGCAACAGAGCUCCGACCCUUGUGGAACGAGCGCUUUUAUUAGACCAAAGACCAAUCGGAGCUUCGGCCCCGUCAGUCUGUGGUGACUCUGGAUAACUUUUAGCGGAUCGCACGGUCAUCGUGCCGGCGACUCCUCUUUCAAAUGUCUGCCUUAUCAACUUUCGAUGGUAGGUUAAUUGCCUACCAUGGUUGUAACGGGUGACGGGGAAUCAGGGUUCGAUUCCGGAGAGGGAGCCUGAGAAACGGCUACCACAUCCAAGGAAGGCAGCAGGCACGCAAAUUACCCACUCCCAGUACGGGGAGGUAGUGACGAAAAAUAACAAUGCGGGACUCUUACGAGGCCCCGUAAUUGGAAUGAGUCCACUUUAAAUCCUUUAACGAGGACCUAUUGGAGGGCAAGUCUGGUGCCAGCAGCCGCGGUAAUUCCAGCUCCAAUAGCGUAUACUAAAGUUGUUGCGGUUAAAAAGCUCGUAGUUGGAUGUCAGUCGCGGGCGGGCGGUCCACCGUUUUGGUGGUUUACUGCUCGUCCCGCGACCUACUGGCCGGCCUCCCCCGCUAUGCUCUUCACCGGGUGUGGCGGGUGGCCGGAAAGUUUACUUUGAAAAAAUUAGAGUGCUCUAAGCAGGUGCUUGCCGCCUGAAUAACACAGCAUGGAAUAAUGGAAUAGGACCUCGGUUCUAUUUUGUUGGUUUUCGGAAUUCCGAGGUAAUGAUUAAUAGGGACAGACGGGGGCA